UGUCUUUUCUAAUCAUACAAGGAACUCUACGCUGAACAAUGCGUGUAAGCUUUUUGUAUGUUGCUAAAUGAAAUAAAUGUGCCUUUACUGCAUUGCUCAUUUUGUCAUAAAAUGACACGUCAACUGGCGAAGAUGUUUGCACUUACCGCACCCGUGGGCGGAGUAUGGGUUUUCUCGUUUUAUAAAACUGCGAUCUAAGACUGUAUCACUAUCGCUUUCCUUCCUUGCUUUGACUAUGCAUGACGCAGGGACAGUUUUUUCUUUUAAUAUGACACCUUCAUUAAAAGGAGAAGCGGCAUUUUCAGGGUGUAGAGCUUACAUUUGUGAGUCCAGGUUAAAUUUUAUUACUUGCUCUUUAUUUUCCUCGUUCUCUUUAUCUUAGACAGGUUUUUUUUAAGAGCUUUUUAUUUUGCAUUUAGUUUUCAGCCCCUCUCAUCUUCUCUUCAGGGGCUAGAUGAGAGUGAGUUUUAGUGUGCUUUUCUGCUAACUGAGAUCAAGUUUUUUAGACUUCAUUUCACUCUGUAAAAAUGGCGUGCUUAGUAGGAUAUUUUUUUUCCUAUUUCAAGUCUCCAAUGCUUAUUUCAAGGUAGUGCCAGUAAAAAGUGUAUUGACUUAACAAGUACACUUUCUUGAAAUUUUUUUCUCAAUUAGCUUGUCUCUUUUUUGCAGUUUUAGCUCCUCUCUUCACAGAAAAGAUGUGAGUAAUUAGGAGACUGAGACAGUAUCGGGAUGUAGAUGAUAUGUAGGCGAGUCAGGGGUUUUUCUCAGCAGUACAACCAAGCUUAGUUAACUUAUUAAUAUAGUCAGACUACACUGUUCAGCACUUCCAUGUUUGGAGGACAAAAGACCUCCAACGAGUCGCUCAAACUAAAGGACUAUUUGCCUAAAGACAGGAUGACCAUCUCUCUCUGCUGGGCGUUCGCUAUGUCUGAAGAUAGACACAGCACACAGUUUGGAUGGUUUUGUGCAAAUGCUUGGAGAAUAAGUGCAGACAAAAUGCUGUCUGACCUGCUACAUCCUGAAAAUGAAAGGGAGUUGUCCCUUAUCCGAUGUGAGGGUCUAAGGACACAAUGUUGUAUUGCUGUAAAGCCCUUUGAGUCAAAGUUGUAAUUUAUGAUAUUGGGCUAUACAAAUAAAAUUGACUUGACUUACUUCUCACCGUCGACUGGCAGCCAUCAUUAGUUGGUCAGCAACCUUGCCCCACCUCCUAUUUUAAAGUAAGGGGGACAUUCACAUAUAUGAAGGGGAAAUAGAAAUAUCGCCAGCAAAAGAUCAGAGAUGUGAAUAACGGGCCUUGGAGGGGGUGCUUCCCGUAACACCAUGGAAUGUAUGAUGCAAGACGUCGAGUUCCUGUCGUAAGACGUAAAGUGUUUUGCGUGAUUACGCAGACGUCCCACGAGAAAAGGGGGCCAAAAUGUCGGACACCGUACAAAUUACAACAAAACUUUCGAUCCAGUGCAAGGAAAAUCCUGAUGGGAAUCCCGGGAUAAUAGUGUAUGGGGAUGCAACAUUUCCCUUGCAUCCUCAGGCUAAGCCAGGGAAUUCUUCUUUUGGUGCUGCACAAGGAUUCCACAGUGUCUCUACUUCUAGCUCUGUGAGACUAAUCCAAUCCGGUCCUGGUAACACUGAGGUUGAGGACAUGGAUGUUGAACCAACAGACAACAGCAUCAGUGCAUACCUCCACCUCUCCAGGCUCUCCUCAACCUGCACCCUACUCUCGCUACAGAUCACAAUGUCAUCCGCGAACAUCAUCGUCCAUGGAGACUCCUGCCUGGUCUUGUCCGUCAACCUGUCCAUCACCAUUGCAAACAAGAAAGGGCUCAGAGCCGAUCCUUGAUCCAUGUGAGACCCCACGAUGAGGACGCUGUUCCCAUGGAUGUUGACUAGCAUGAGGACGCUACUGUAUGUUUGCUGAUCCGUCAGAUGACAUGGUGCAAUUUGAAAAUACUGAAGCAUUAAUAUUAAAUACACAAAAUAAAAAAAACUAAUAAAAGAAAGUGU
Molecule: RNA transcript, 2001 nt
Organism: Lampris incognitus (smalleye Pacific opah)
Lineage: Eukaryota; Metazoa; Chordata; Actinopteri; Lampriformes; Lampridae
Gene: armc1l
Gene name: armadillo repeat containing 1, like
Exons: 9
Source: RefSeq, a predicted model, not a curated record